Molecule: unclassified non-coding RNA, 83 nt
Filed under: Chryseobacterium taihuense
Lineage: Bacteria; Pseudomonadati; Bacteroidota; Flavobacteriia; Flavobacteriales; Weeksellaceae
Description: Flavo-1 RNA
Source: RNAcentral
CUCUCGCAGCCCGACUUGAACGGAAAUCCUUUUAUGAGGAGGAACGACGAAUAAAAGAUUGGGAGUGGAAGGCGGAUACAGCU